This 692-nucleotide ribosomal RNA is filed under the name uncultured bacterium. RNAcentral describes it as "bacterial SSU rRNA". It matches the Rfam family "Bacterial small subunit ribosomal RNA", at positions 33 to 719 of the family's 1533-position model. The record is from RNAcentral.
ACGCUGGCGGCAGGCCUAACACAUGCAAGUCGAGCGGUAGAGAGAAGCUUGCUUCUCUUGAGAGCGGCGGACGGGUGAGUAAUGCCUAGGAAUCUGCCUGGUAGUGGGGGAUAACGUCCGGAAACGGACGCUAAUACCGCAUACGUCCUACGGGAGAAAGCAGGGGACCUUCGGGCCUUGCGCUAUCAGAUGAGCCUAGGUCGGAUUAGCUAGUUGGUGGGGUAAUGGCUCACCAAGGCGACGAUCCGUAACUGGUCUGAGAGGAUGAUCAGUCACACUGGAACUGAGACACGGUCCAGACUCCUACGGGAGGCAGCAGUGGGGAAUAUUGGACAAUGGGCGAAAGCCUGAUCCAGCCAUGCCGCGUGUGUGAAGAAGGUCUUCGGAUUGUAAAGCACUUUAAGUUGGGAGGAAGGGCAGUAAAUUAAUACUUUGCUGUUUUGACGUUACCGACAGAAUAAGCACCGGCUAACUCUGUGCCAGCAGCCGCGGUAAUACAGAGGGUGCAAGCGUUAAUCGGAAUUACUGGGGCGUAAAACGCGCGUAGGUGGUUCGUUAAGUUGGAUGUGAAAUCCCCGGGCUCAACCUGGGAACUGCAUUCAAAACUGACGAGCUAGAGUAUGGUAGAGGGUGGUGGAAUUUCCUGUGUAGCGGUGAAAUGCGUAGAUAUAGGAAGGAACACCAGUGGCGAA